This is a long non-coding RNA of Vanessa atalanta (red admiral), 330 nucleotides long. RefSeq lists it as uncharacterized. The record is from RefSeq and is a predicted model, not a curated record. The transcript is spliced from 3 exons. Lineage: Eukaryota; Metazoa; Arthropoda; Insecta; Lepidoptera; Nymphalidae.
AAAAUGAUAUUGACAAGCUUCGUGAGAAACGUCAAGACGCACCGACCCCACCGCCUGAGGCUGAUCCGAAGCCACCAGAAAAAACGGAGACAGAGUAUGAAACCUAUCAUACCCCACUUUACGCCAUCACGGCAUUCUUCACUCUUUUGCUGAUACUUGGACCAUUGAUGGUGAAACAAGGACCAAACCGAGGGAUAGUGCAAGCUUGCGUCAUGCUAACCGCAUUCUGCAUGUGGAUCUUCUGGUUCACAAUCUAUUUUGGUCAAAUGAAUCCCCUAAUGGGACCUCGUCUCGAAAACACUACAGUCGCUUGGAUCGCAUACAAAUUAG